RNAcentral lists this ribosomal RNA (483 nucleotides) under uncultured bacterium. RNAcentral describes it as "partial 16S ribosomal RNA". It matches the Rfam family "Bacterial small subunit ribosomal RNA", at positions 30 to 507 of the family's 1533-position model. The record is from RNAcentral.
UUGAACGCUGGCGGCAGGCCUAACACAUGCAAGUCGAGCGGAUGAAGGGAGCUUGCUCCUGGAUUCAGCGGCGGACGGGUGAGUAAUGCCUAGGAAUCUGCCUGGUAGUGGGGGAUAACGUCCGGAAACGGGCGCUAAUACCGCAUACGUCCUGAGGGAGAAAGUGGGGGAUCUUCGGACCUCACGCUAUCAGAUGAGCCUAGGUCGGAUUAGCUAGUUGGUGGGGUAAAGGCCUACCAAGGCGACGAUCCGUAACUGGUCUGAGAGGAUAAUCAGUCACACUGGAACUGAGACACGGUCCAGACUCCUACGGGAGGCAGCAGUGGGGAAUAUUGGACAAUGGGCGAAAGCCUGAUCCAGCCAUGCCGCGUGUGUGAAGAAGGUCUUCGGAUUGUAAAGCACUUUAAGUUGGGAGGAAGGGCAGUAAGUUAAUACCUUGCUGUUUUGACGUUACCAACAGAAUAAGCACCGGCUAACUUCGUG